Long non-coding RNA from Drosophila guanche, 555 nucleotides. RefSeq lists it as uncharacterized. The record is from RefSeq and is a predicted model, not a curated record. The transcript has 5 exons. NCBI's taxonomy places the organism in Eukaryota, Metazoa, Arthropoda, Insecta, Diptera, Drosophilidae.
ACGGUCACAUUCUUUCUUAAUUAUGGUAUCCGGCACGCACAAAGUUAUAAAAAUGGGAAAUAUGGAAAAAGUUAACACCACGUUUCUGAAAAAAUCAUUAAAAUAUGCAUAUUGCUAUGGUGAUCAUUGCCACAUCAUAUAAAGGUGGAAAUAUGAAGAAAACGUUGGAUUUUCGUUGAAUCAAAAUUAUCACCGAACACGUGGUGCGCCCGUGUGCACAUGAAGAAACGUUGGAUGGCUGCUAAACAUUUCUUGAGACUAUAUUGUGGAUAAACAUAUCCAAAGAUGAUGGCAGCAGCAGAUCACUUUCGUACGCUCGUAAAAUAGCGAAGAGCGGCGUGCCAACCCCUUGAGGUCUAAAGCUGUGGUCAGGCAAGAAAUAAUAUCUAUUGUGCACCGGCAAGGGCACUGAAAUAUAUGGAUCUAGGACUCGAGAGCCUUUGUGUGACCGCUGUCCAUGUGUUGCGACCAGGAUGAAAUCAUUAUUCUGCUGGCAAUCUGACGCCACCCUUUUAUAGAUGGUAGAAUACAAAAGUAAAAUCAAGUUUUUAUUUA